AGGAUCACCCAUCGCUUUGGAUAUAUCUAUCCUGUACAUAAUCUAGGUCACCUUUGCAGCAGCUCCAUCUUCAGGUCUCCCCUGCCCUUAACAAAUGGAACCCACAAACAUGGACAGCACAGCCCUCCCCGCUACAUAGUUUUAGUGAAUCCUGUCCAGCAGAGAUUGUCUUCACGAAACACUGUUUCAGAUGUUCAUAGAGCAUGAGGGGGAAUGAGAACUGA
Molecule: long non-coding RNA, 224 nt
Organism: Suricata suricatta (meerkat)
Lineage: Eukaryota; Metazoa; Chordata; Mammalia; Carnivora; Herpestidae
Exons: 3
Source: RefSeq, a predicted model, not a curated record